UACGAAGGGGGCUAGCGUUGCUCGGAAUCACUGGGCGUAAAGGGUGCGUAGGCGGGUCUUUAAGUCGGGGGUGAAAUCCUGGAGCUCAACUCCAGAACUGCCUUCGAUACUGGGAAUCUUGAGUCCGGAAGAGGUGAGUGGAACUGCGAGUGUAGAGGUGAAAUUCGUAGAUAUUCGCAAGAACACCAGUGGCGAAGGCGGCUCACUGGUCCGGUACUGACGCUGAGGUGCGAAAGCGUGGGGAGCAAACAGG
Molecule: ribosomal RNA, 253 nt
Filed under: uncultured bacterium
Lineage: Bacteria
Description: partial 16S ribosomal RNA
Rfam family: Bacterial small subunit ribosomal RNA
Source: RNAcentral